This 253-nucleotide ribosomal RNA is filed under the name uncultured bacterium. Its description in RNAcentral is "partial 16S ribosomal RNA". It matches the Rfam family "Bacterial small subunit ribosomal RNA", at positions 524 to 776 of the family's 1533-position model. The record is from RNAcentral.
UACGAAGGGGGCUAGCGUUGCUCGGAAUCACUGGGCGUAAAGCGCACGUAGGCGGGUCGUUAAGUCGGGGGUGAAAUCCUGGAGCUCAACUCCAGAACUGCCUUCGAUACUGGCGAUCUUGAGUCUGGGAGAGGUGAGUGGAACUCCGAGUGUAGAGGUGAAAUUCGUAGAUAUUCGGAAGAACACCAGUGGCGAAGGCGGCUCACUGGCCCGGUACUGACGCUGAGGUGCGAAGGCUAGGGGAGCGAACAGG